Cercocebus atys (sooty mangabey) is the source of this 2965-nucleotide long non-coding RNA. RefSeq lists it as uncharacterized. Lineage: Eukaryota; Metazoa; Chordata; Mammalia; Primates; Cercopithecidae. The transcript is spliced from 2 exons. The record is from RefSeq and is a predicted model, not a curated record.
AGGAAGAAAGAAGAGUUAGGACGAGAGCGCCGCGGAGUCCUCCCACACCAGCAUCCCUCUGCUGUGGUUCCAGGUGGGUGCUGAGCCCCUGGGUGUCUCUCUCAUCUGCUAACAGAAAUGGCACCACGGAGAGUUAGUCUUUUCCUUCCUUUUCUCCCGACCUCCCUCAGCAAAUGCUAAUUGCAUUUUCAGUUCUGUGAGAAAGAUCUGGAAUCUGAUUCCCAGGCUGCAGGGAGUGGUGUCUGGCGUAACCACCCUUCUGCGUCACAGCGCUGCUCUUCCGUGGGUGAAAGUGUAACCGCUCAUUGCUUUGCUUUGAAGGAGCACUUCGUCUCUUCAGCCAGAGAUUCCAGAGCGGCUGGGGGGAACUGUCAACCACAACAGGAGCAAGUUCUUUUUCGGAGGGACCCUAGCACACGCCUUGCUGCACACACCAGAAAAGAGCAAAGCCACAUAUCCGUCCCUGGGGAUGUCCCUCCUAUGUGCCAUCUCAUCUGCCACACCAGACAGAUCAAAUGCACAGGGAGCUUUGUCUGCAAACUUUGACUUGAAGGGGUCUUAAAGCCAUGCAUUUACAUGUUUGGGGGACAAAUAAUUUCGAUGCUUAAGAAAGAGUUGGCAGCUAAUUGAAAUGGUACAUAGGUGUGCCGUGGCCCACGGUGUGGAGGUAGCCAGGCGUGGGCAUCCCUCUAGAAGGAGGCACGCGUUGGUCACACAGAACGUCAUUUAGAUUGACAAAGCAGAACUGCACUUUUUCUGCAUUGAAAUUUUUAUUCAAAUUUUAGUCUUUCUCCUUGGGUUUCCCCUUUUAUGAAAUGAUCAGUUUUGGUGAAGAGUCCCCAGAAAGCAAGACAGAAAAGAAAUAUGCUCUUCACCGUGGCUGAUGAGCAAUGAACUAACACUGUCCUCAUCUAAUUCUAUGUCUUCCACACUGCCCAGUAAAUGCAUAACCAGAGUGCGGACGCCAAGAAUCCUUACAAAUAAUGCAACUAACAGACCAAGCCCAGGAGCCAAAGCUCAGCCAGCCCGAGCGAGCCAGGAUUAGAGCCUGCGUGGAUGCAGCAGUCACGCUUCUCUCUAUUAUGUGUCUUGCAACUUGGAGUCGCAUGAUCUACGCAUCUGAUCCGCCCUGGGCUCAGGUCAGGAUAAGACUGAAGUCACAAGGUGAGGGUUAGACUGACCUCCUCUCUCAGGACAGGAAAAGAACAGAACCUACUGCAAAAGGCAGAUACUGUUGCCUCCACUUUGAUGCCUCACAACUCCACAGCAACACUACAGGUGGGAAAACGUUCACAUGUAUGUUCGUGGAAGUUAAUGCACAUGGAAACAGGAGGCUCCUAUGAUGUUCCCAUGUGGUUUCCGAGUAAUGGGGUGACCUGCAUAGUUUUUUCUACCCAGUUCCUACCGACAAUGCUAGACUUCCAGAUUUGAGUCUUUUCCUCUCACUACUGAUUUCCAACAGCACCAGAAAGAACAGAAAGAUGGUAACAUGACAUUAAAUGCUAUGAAGUUCCUGUCCUCUCCACCUGCCUGCCUCUAAACCCCUCAUUUCUGGAGGAGCUGUGAUUUAUUAAUCUAUUGGAACUGCUCCAAGUCAACUCAUUCAGCCAUACGGCCAUAGUAGGCCAGUUUUGAACUUUUUAUGCAGUAAAAUUUAAUUACAACCAUAUGAUUUGCAAUUUGCUUUGAUGCAUCGAUGCUUCCCUUGAACUCUACGGAAAUUAAAUAAUUUUUAAAAGCUGCUUACAAAAAAAUUCAGGGAAAAUACUGAACUUAUUUAAGAAAACACAUACGUGUAGUACAUUGGUUAUAUUUGCACACAGUAAACAUGCAGAUCUAAAUGCAGCUUUCUGUUCCUCAGGGUGGUCUUGGUAAGCUCUGGCCUUGCAAGCAUUUCGAGUGACUGGUUGUAAGCCUUGCAUAUAUUGCAAGGAAAUAUUUGCUAAAUGGGGCCCCUCACUCAUCUGGGCCAUCCCAUCAACUCUGAGCCAGCACUCAACUCUCUCGGUGUGUCUAACAGUCCUUAAGCUGGCAGUGGAGGAAUUAGUUAUCCGGAUGGGAUGAAUCCGUGUUUCCCAGGUGAGCACGGUGUCUGCAAAAUCAUCACAACUGGCAACACCUAGUUCACCCUUGGACAUUCUGACUCAGUGAGCCUGUGGCAGAGCCCAGACAGACAGGGGUCUGGGCAUGCAUCCCAGGCGAUUCAGAGGCAGGUGCGGUACUGGCCAGGUGGGGCGGGGCCGUCCUGACUGCAGUGCUGGGUUCAGACACUGCUCCCCGGGGAGCCUCAUCUCCGCCCUCUUGUGGCCACACCCCAGAACUGCGGCAGUGUACAGCAUGAUGGCCCUGAGACUUGAAUAUUUGGAGAAUUUAUUUUCUUACUCAGAAUUUACGUUGAGGAGUGGAUCCUGCUUACCACUUUAUCUGACAUAAAGCAAGUAAGCAGCUCAGUUACUCACUGCUCACUUCAUAUAUUAAAAGCUUUUCCUAAGACCAGCUAUCCUUAAGAUCUUGGGCUGUGCCAUGAAUCGCCUGUUGUCCACAGAACCUCCCAGAAUUGAGGCUCAUGGCAGAGGUUGUGCACUCACCGAGGACGCAGGGGGAUCGUGUCUGUGCCCAUGUGGAUCCCAGCUGCUGGGCAGAGCACACUGCACAUCCAGACUCAAUAAAUACAUGGAGUCAAAGGUGAGGUCACUGAAUCAAUGAGUAUGUUACACACCAAGGAAGACCGUCCUCUCUGCACCCCGGGGAGGCCCCCCAGAGGCCUGGUCUCCUCCAAGACGAAAAUGCAAACGCAGGUGCCUCGGGGGGACUCCCAGGCCGUCUGGCUUCCGGUUCUCUCCCGGCCCUGCCUGGAGCUUCAUGUGCCUCCCCGUUUGCUUCACGAGAGCAGCUGUCUAAGAGGUCCAGUUUUCUGGGUGACGUUUAACGAUAAUAAAGGUGACUGCUUAUCUAAGGAAUCUGA